Molecule: long non-coding RNA, 586 nt
Filed under: Capsella grandiflora
Lineage: Eukaryota; Viridiplantae; Streptophyta; Magnoliopsida; Brassicales; Brassicaceae
Description: long non-coding RNA (CGRA_LNC001360)
Source: RNAcentral
CUGUGUUCUUGGCUUUAGGGUUUGCUUUCUAUGUCUUCUUUGCUCCCUUUGUUGGGAAGAAGAUACAUCAGUACAUUGCGAUGGGCAUUUACACUCCCCUGGUAAGUUGAAUUGGAUGAUAUCAAAUAUGCUUUAAAUAAAGAUCAAAAUUGUGUACUUGUUGGCUGUUUAUGUGGUCUUUACUUUGUUGGCUAUCUCUGUUUGGGUAAUGCUUAUCUUUUGUGAAGUACAUAGACCAUUGAUUGGUUCCACAAUCUAACCAGUCUUGUGCGAUUUGUUACUUAUAGCUAAUUAGGGAAACUGGAUUUACCUGGAAUUUUUAGUUGGAUCUUGAUCUGGUCCCCGUCAUGAUAUUAGAAGCUUCGUUGAUUCAUGAGAACAGCUCUAGAUACUUCUUAUUUCCGAGCAAAUUGUGGAGGAUAUGGUUGAAACUUCGAUCUCAAAUUUGUGGAUUUUUCAUUUCUUCUUGUAACUUGAUUGAUUUUGCUUUCAUUUGAAGCUACACUUGAGACCUUAGUCUUUGAGAUUGUGUACACCUUAAGUCUUUGACAAUUGUAUUUUACCUUUUUGCUUUUGUGAAUAGUUU